AGAGUUUUUUCCUUGGUUCAGAACGAACCCUGGCGGCCGCGUCUUAAGCAUGCAAGUCGAGCGGCAAGUUAUGUGUUUACACGUAGCUUAGAGCGGCGGACUGGUGAGUAACACGUGGGUGACCUACCUAAAAGUUGGGAAAUAGCCGUUAGAAAUAGCGGGUAAUACCGAAUGUGCUUACAGGAAGAAAGUCUUGUAAGGAAAGGAGCUACGGCUUCGCUUUUAGAUGGGCCCGCGCCCCAUUAGCUAGUUGGUGGAGUAAAAGCCUACCAAGGCGAUGAUGGGUAGCCGGCCUGAGAGGGUGAACGGCCACACUGGGACUGAGAUACGGCCCAGACUCCUACGGGAGGCAGCAGCUAAGAAUAUUCCGCAAUGGACGAAAGUCUGACGGAGCGACGCCGCGUGGAUGAUGAAGGCCGGAAGGUUGUAAAAUCCUUUUGUCAACGAAGAAUAAGCGGAGGAGGGAAUGCCUUCGUGAUGACGUUAGUUGACGAAUAAGCCCCGGCUAAUUACGUGCCAGCAGCCGCGGUAACACGUAAGGGGCGAGCGUUGUUCGGAAUUAUUGGGCGUAAAGGGCGCGUAGGCGGUUUUGCCAGCCUGAUGUGAAAGCCUGGGGCUUAACCCUGGAAUUGCAUUGGGAACUGCAAGACUUGAAUCAUGGAAGGGAAAUCAGAAUUCCAGGUGUAGGGGUGAAAUCUGUAGAUAUCUGGAAGAAUACCGGUGGCGAAGGCGGAUUUCUGGCCAAUGAUUGACGCUGAGGCGCGAAAGUGCGGGGAGCAAACAGGAUUAGAUACCCUGGUAGUCCGCACUAUAAACGAUGUACACUAGGUGUUGGGCCGAGUGGCUCAGUGCCGAAGCUAACGUGAUA
This 868-nucleotide ribosomal RNA is filed under the name uncultured bacterium. RNAcentral's name for it is "bacterial SSU rRNA". It matches the Rfam family "Bacterial small subunit ribosomal RNA", at positions 8 to 862 of the family's 1533-position model. The record is from RNAcentral.